UCAUUUUCUUUAAAUGUUUUGCAAAUUUGGUGCAUCUCUCUCUCUCUCCCCCCACCUAUAUAUAUACAUAGAAAUCUCUAGAUCUAUGAUUUUAUGAGAUCUAUAAGCUUUAAUCCAUGGUAAAUCUAUCAUCUUCUUCAAAUAUUCUGCAACAAGGUGUUUCUCUUUUGUCAAACCAAGUCAGAUUCACUUCUCUUCCGAGUUCUCUCUCACCUGGUAUCGAAAACCCUAGAACAUAGGAAUAGGGGCUUCAAGUGUUGCAGGAGGUUUGGCUUACCACAUGGUUAUUCAAAGAGACCACAACACUCUAUACCAUAAAGUGACAUUUUCAUGGUAAAGAUUGUUUCUUGGCCUUGAUUAUCAUCCUCAAGCAAGUCUUCACAAUGAUUAGUAAAUGACUAAUAUUGUGACUUUGAAAAUUGAACCAUAGCCAAUCCCACAUUUAUAUCAAAGAAAACCAAAGCUUAUGACUGAGGCAAAACAAAUUCUAAAUAAGGAAAACUACGAUCAAGAGACCUAUUUCUAAACAACUAUGCUAUCUAAAUUGUUUUUUUUUUCUUUCUUUUUGUUCUGUCUUUUUCUUUGGUCUCUAUGUAUGUGUAUCUUGUGUGCUUGUACCCACACACAGAUUAGACUAGUGUAAAAUUCUUAUUCAUAAACUCAAAAACUUCUUGGGAACUCCAUUAAUUCCAAGCUAUCUUCAGAAGAUAAGCAUCUUUUCCAUGUCAAAAAUACCAUCAUUAGGUGUCAGUAGCUAAGCUCACUAAGCCAACAACCCAAUUCAAUAACCCAAUAUGUGGAAAGAGAGAGACAUUGAGGGUGCCAUUACAUAAGCUAGUGGGAAACUUUUCUGCUUCCCAAGCAAUAUAGGACUCUCACUGAGUGGAGCACCAAAAAAGAAAGUCUCAUAUAGUAAGAUAAUUAUAAACUUGUUUAUAAGUGAAAGUCUGGCUUUGUUUUCACGAGUAGGAUUGUUGAAGUCUCAAAUUUGUUCAGUUUUUAAGUUCAUUCCCAAUCCUGGCUUAAACCUGAGGAAGUUGGUUGACCAAUAUUCUGAGCCAGGAUGAACUAUGGAAACAAAGAACCAAAUCACACCAAUCCAAUUUGUAACUCAUUUUAUCAAUAUAUUAUUUUUUAGUUGCUCAACAUUUUCUCACAAAGCAUCACUAGCCUUAAAAUAUAUGUGCAUGCACUAAAAGCAUUUCUUAAUUCUACAGAUUACAUAUCAUUUUAACUAAAGAAUUUAAUCAUAACUCAAAUUUAACUAGCACUUCAAUCCUUUCAAAAAAAUAAUAAUAAAAAUAAAUAAAUAAAUGAAUAAAGUAGUUAUUCUAUCUAAAAAACUGAUUCAUCAAGACUUGGUGUAAACAUAUAAGCACAUACUCUAAACUAUAAAAUAAAAAUGCCAAACCACAUAAUAUCAGUAUAUUAAGGAAUCAAGAAGCAUAAAAGUGAAAUUGAUUAAUUUGGUAUAAUUGUAGUCAGUUCAUCAUAUGUGCAAAUAGGACAAAAUAUAACUCAUUAAGCCUAUCUACCAUAAUGCAUCCAAACAUAUUAGAAGAAAUUGCCAAGUCAAAACAAAUCAAGAAAAAAAGUUAUUUUAACAGCAAUGGCACUCACCCAUUCACCAAGGCAAAGGGACCAGUAAUAUUUGGCAAAUCUUUGACAUUCACUAGACUCUUCUCCUUUUGCUGCUAAGCACCUGUAGUUUUUGAUUGAAGAAUAAAAAAAUCAAAAAAAAAAAGAGGCAAUUACUUAGUUCUACAAUAAGUUGGUAAGAUGUUUAAAACUCUUCAUAUAGAGCCUAUUCAUUCAUGAAUGCCUCAAAAUGAUACAAUACUAAAAAAGUGUGCCUGUGAAACUCAAUGUAUCGAGUGAAACAAUGUCUAGUCUAAUUGGUUGUAGGAAAUCAAAAAUCAGCUGGUGCAGUCUUCAGUUCAAUCUGAAAGGCAACAUAAAGAAGUUGAUAUCAGUAAAAAAGAAAACCAAAAAAGAAAAAAAAAA
Non-coding RNA from Camellia sinensis, 2004 nucleotides. Lineage: Eukaryota; Viridiplantae; Streptophyta; Magnoliopsida; Ericales; Theaceae. The record is from RefSeq and is a predicted model, not a curated record.